RNAcentral lists this non-coding RNA (23 nucleotides) under Cricetulus griseus (Chinese hamster). Lineage: Eukaryota; Metazoa; Chordata; Mammalia; Rodentia; Cricetidae. The record is from RNAcentral.
UCUACAAAUCUCGAAAUAACAGC